CUUUCAUUCGUUCCACAAUCUCCUGACUCGCGCCUUGCUUCUUGAGCUCUGUUGCAAUGCAAGCAUUUCCUGUCGAUAUGACUCGGCUCUGCCUCCUUGCCUUCUCCGUUUGCCUGUGUGUGGCCUCCGUCACCUGCACUGAUGAAAAAUUCAGCCAUGGAGAACCGCUGAAAGGGAUUAGUAACGACGUCCUUGCCAAAUUGAACUCGGAUCAGGACUUGCAAAAGUUUUACCAUGAUGCCUUUAAAAGAGGUUUAACAAUAAAAUCACAACUAAAAGAAUGGACUGAAUUCGCUAAAAGCGAAUCAAAGUCCUAUUAUCCUGCACUAUUGGAGAGAUUGAAAAAUAUUGCCAAAAUAUUGAGAUCGGACCCUUUUUUCAUGAAGUUUUGGGAUCUUAUAAUGAAGGUUGAGGAAUCAACCAAACCGUCAAACUCUGCUAUAGGGCUAUUUUUAAGAAAAGAACUGCUCUCCAAUGCACCCUUGGCGCGGAAGGUGAAGGAUAUUUUUGGCAAAGCAAUGGAAUCUGAUCCCGAUUUGAAAAAGCUGUGGAAGAAUGCCAUGGAUAAAGGUUUAAACGAAACCUCUAGUGAUGAAGAUUGGAACUCAUUUUUUGACGAAGAAAAGGAAUCUAAUCCUGCCGUGGGAGCGAAACUGAAAAAAUUUGUAGAAAAUUUUUUAAAUUCUGUACAUUCCUUGUUCAUCGUAUAUUACGCCUUUGGUGAUGAUCUCAAGACAAACGGAGCUAACCAGCCGACCAUCUAUAUCGCAUCUUUCAUUGGGGCAAUGCUGGUACAGUAUUGUUACAACAUCUAUUUCUUGUGAAUAUGCAUAUAUUUAAUAUACAAACAUCUAGUGAUGACAAUUUAUCCGUGCAAAAUUUUGGCUCCGAUAAAAAUGGAAUAUUUUUUGAAUAAAAUACUCUGUCUUAUGUCUGAUGUACCCCUUGAAUUACAUAAAAACUCAUCUAAAAACGCUUUGUCGAAUAUAUUUUUCUUUUUGUAAAAAUUGUUAGACUAGAGUUCAGCUCCAAACAGUUUUGAGUCUCCUUUCAAGAGCCUUUUAAUACAGUGAGUAGAUCUUAAACUUUACUUUGUGCCGUAUAUUUUUUUAAUUAUUCUUAAAAAAUUUACAACACUUUGGAUUUGGAAAGUAAUUUUUCAUCUUUUAACUUAUCUAUAGGACUGUAAAAUUUAGACGAUGGACCAUAAUUUUCUGACUCAAAUGAGCACGAAUCAGACAAUUUUAAGCAAUUUAAACCAAACUUGAAACCGUCUAAAACACGUCAAUUUUGAGUUGGAAAUCAAAUCCCUUUAUAUAUUAUAAUUUAGACGAAAUAUUUAUAAUUGUAACAUUAUGGCGCUAUCAUAUGUAUGACGUAUCACUCUGCCCAUUUUGUGAACAUGCAAACAGUUCAAAUAAAUUAUUAUUAUUCUUAAAUCAUAA
Cloeon dipterum is the source of this 1445-nucleotide long non-coding RNA. RefSeq lists it as uncharacterized. The transcript has 2 exons. The record is from RefSeq and is a predicted model, not a curated record. Lineage: Eukaryota; Metazoa; Arthropoda; Insecta; Ephemeroptera; Baetidae.